UGUCUUUUCGCCCAGUGGAAAUGAUGUGGUAGGUAAGUGUGUGUGUGAGAGAGGGUCAGGGCCCACGCGUGGCCGACACUGGCUGAGCCGCGGCCGAGUGCUGCUCUGACUCAUCCAUGAGGAUGGGAGAAGAAGGCCGUGUUUAAUUUCACGCGCCUGUGCCGGCAACCGGGAUGUCGGUAACAGUUUGUGGCGGUUAUGUGAAGGCCGGGCGGUGGUGGAGCCCGGAUUGACGGGAGUCACGUGGAUGAAGAGACCAUGUGCUGGGAAAGAAUGGGCCUUUGAGCACAGCCACAUUCUAUCAAUGUGCGCUGGGAUCUUUUGGAAGUUGUACCUGCUGGAUCCUAGCGUCCAUUCAUGACACUAACCAGUACACGCAAAAUGAGUGAGACUGCAUUUAUCCAUCCUGAAUGAGGAAGAUGGUGAAAACCAGGGAUGCAAAAACUGAAUGCACUGUGAUGAAGGGGCAACAUUUGUUGGAAGACAGCUGGGGAUAGCAAGAACAGCUGAGUGAUUUUGAAUUGACAAGUUCAUGGGGAUCAUUUGGGAAAAGUUGGAUGUGAAGUAAGAGUGAGGACUGUAUUUUAUCCAUCCUGAAUGAGGAAGAUGGUGAAAACCAGGAAUGCAGAAACUGAAUGCACUGUGAUGAAGAAAUUGAAAACCCAACGUGGGCAUCCAGCAAGGUUGCUCUUGUUUGGCUCUGUCCAUGUGGCAUAUGGGAGUGUAGACAUUCUGUCUGUGACACACAGUCCCGUUCCGCGACGUUGGAGAGAAAGCAUGUCCCUGGCUUUCAGCUGAUACUGCUUCACCAGCUGUGGUGUACUUCACACGAGUGCUGUUUGAGUUGUAUAUGCAACUAUGUACAAAACCAAGUUAUCACUAAACUUUUGUAUGUUUUGCAUAUUUAAAUAAAAUUAAAAUGCAAGAGAUCAGUUUUUCUCCA
Long non-coding RNA from Stegostoma tigrinum, 943 nucleotides. RefSeq lists it as uncharacterized. The transcript has 7 exons. The record is from RefSeq and is a predicted model, not a curated record. NCBI's taxonomy places the organism in Eukaryota, Metazoa, Chordata, Chondrichthyes, Orectolobiformes, Stegostomatidae.